CAUAUUAUAUGUUUAUUUUAUUUUUUUUUUUAUUCUUUACUAUAUAUACCUCCAUAGUAAUGAUGGGUAUGUAAAGGUGACACACAUUUGGUUAAUUAAAUUUAAAUGUGUGUAAAUUAUAAUGAAUUCCAUUAAAUGGCAUUUUGAGAAUUCUAUAUUUAUAAGAGGCACAUAAAUAAACUUAUAAUGGUUAUAUAAAGUGAAAGGAUUAUAUAAAAUCAUAAGAAAUGUUGAAUAAAUUAGAAAGUAUAAGAAAGUACAUUUAUAGAUAGAUUAUAAACUAAGAAUAAUAUUUGAAAGUAUUAGAUUAUAUAGGGGUUAGUUGAAAGAACCUAGAAAAAAUAAGAAAAUACUGACUUAAUAUUAUAGAGGAUAGAGUUAUAUUGAUUUUACUGGAAGGAAUAAUGAUUUUAUUUAAGUAAAUUAAAAUAAAAAAGAAUGAAUAGUAUUAAGUUAAAAAUAAUUGUAUCUAACAAUAAAAAGUAAAAGCUAAGAAGAAAAAUUACUUAAGAGUCUUUAAAUCAUAAAUAUAAAUUACACCCUAGAACAUUUGAUGCAGAUCAAAAAAACAAUAUGAUGUGUUUAAUAUUUAUUAUUAUCUUGAAGAAGAUUUCAGAAAAAAAACCUUUUAAGUUAGCACUCAGAAGCUUAAAAGGAAAUAAUAGGAUAAUGUAUAAAUAUGAGAUGAGAUUUCUUUAUCUUUAUAUCGAAUCGUAAAAUUGUUAGUACAAGAAAUAAACUGGAAUUGUAAAAAUAAAAUAAAAUAAAUAACUUUAGAACGUCAAAAAAUAGAGUUACUUUUUAUUUGUCAAUAUGUAAGAAGAUUUUUAAUGAACCUACCUGGUAAUUAUAAAUUGAAAAUUGAAGACUGCGAAGAAAAAGAAGAUGCUGAAGAGCUAGAAGAUGCUGAAGAGCUAAAAGAUGCUGAAGAACAUUUAAAAAUAAGGUUACCUUAAGUCUUAUUAACAUAUAUAAUAGGUUGUAUGAAGAACGUAGAUGGUAUUACAACUUAAAUAAAACUUAAAGGAUAAAAAUGAAUAAAAAGGUGUAGAACGAAGAUAAAAUAUACAUCUUGAGUAUAUCAAAAGAUAUAAGAUAAUUGAGAGAGAAAUGUAUACAGAUAUAUGGGUAUAUUAAUAAUAAGUAAAUGGAAUCCAGAAACAAACUGAUGUACUCAAAGAUGUCUUAAAUAAACAUGUAUAUGCAGAACAGCAUGAUAGGUUUUUUUUUAUUUUUGUAUAUACCAAUGUUAUUAAUGGUUAUAUAAGAAAUAAGCUGUAAAAUAUACUUAAUAGUGACCUUAAAAGAUAAUGACUUAGAAGAACAGACACAUAUAUAUGAGCUUAUGUAUUUUUUGUUUGUAUAUACCAACUCACUUAAUGGAUUUAUAUAAGAAGAUAACUGACAUUUUAAAAGGCAACGUUACAAAUAUAUAUAUAGGAAAUAGAAGAAGCUUUAUUUUAAUUUUUUUUUUAUAUAUACCAAUGUCUAAAUGGUUGAUAAAAGAAAUGAACUGCGAUAAGUAAAGAAAGCUUAAAACAAGAAAAAAAGGCAUUAUAUAGAAGAAGCACAUUAUAAAAACUAAAAAGGCAAAAUCAGAACUCAAAAUAGAUAUAACUCAGUGCUUAGUAUUCAGAACUGAGAACAAAGAUCUUAAAGGCUUCGAAACUCAGAACUAAGAAUCCCCCAGAAUUAAGGAAGCCAUAUAAUUCAGAUCUGAUAAACUGAGAACUGACAAGACAGGAAAUAAAAAAUAUAAAUGUGAUAGAGAAGUGAUAACUGUGAAAAAAAGUUAUGCAAAUAAGCCUUUUUAAGAUAUGUUAUUAAAUACAUAAUAUUGUUAUGCAGAACGGCAUACAUGGAAUGUGUAUAGAAAUAUAAAAAGGACAUGAAGAAAUUAUAUAGUUAAAUAGAAUCACACAAUAUGAUAAUGGAGAAAAACAAAUAGUUAUAGGCAAAAUACACAUAAACGUAUAAAUGAUAUGAAGAAAAACAACGAAUACAUGGAAGAUGAGAGAAGAGUGUGUUUAUAUUUAGAAAAUCUAUUAUAUUCUAAGCCCCAAGAAUAUUAUUGGAAAUUUUAAAUAUAUACAUAUAUAUAUAUAUAUAAGCCUUUUUUAUAUACAUAGGAAAGUUUUUUAUAUUAUACAAAACCCCACUUGUGUAUAAUAUAGAGAACUUUUUUUAUUUAAAUUGGCAUAGAAGAUUCUAUAGGAGAUUAUUAAAUGUUAUGGAUAUAUGAAGAAGAAAAAUUUAUAUUUAAGAAAUAUUGUCCUUAAAAGUUUUAUCUUAAUAUUGUUUUGCCAAAACUUUUAAUUUAUUUUGAUAUUUCAGAAAGAAUAUAGUUUUAAUCGUGUGUCUUAAAAGUAUAUAGUGUUUUAGUCAGUGUUUUUUGAAAGAAUAUGGGUUCCUUCCAAUGUGCCUUAAAAUAUUUAGUGCGAUCAGUAUUUUCUUGAGGAUAUAGUUUAUUUUGAUGUACUUUUGAGGAUAUAGUUUUUUUAAUAUUUUGGAAGAUUUAAUAUAUAAUCCUUUCACAAUACUAAAAAGGUAGUACAUUAUUUUGUGUUUCUUAUAUUAUAUAAUUUUCUUAGUGUUGUUUAUGUUUUCAUGAUAAUUUAUGCAUAUAUUUUUUUUAGUUUUUCAUUUUCACCAAUUCAUUCGUUGAACUGUGUGUGGUGUAUAUUGUUUUUUUCUUAUUCUUAUGUUUUUUUCUUAUUCUUAUGUUUUUUUUUUUUAUUCUUAUGUUUUUUUCUUAUACUUAUGUUUUUUUUUUAUUCUUAUGUUUUUUUCUUAUUCUUAUGUUUUUUUUUUAUUCUUAUGUUUUUUUUUUAUUCUUAUGUUUUUUCUUAUUCUUAUGUUUUUUUUUAAUUCUUAUGUUUUUUUUUUAUUCUUAUGUUUUUUUCUUAU
This is a non-coding RNA of Plasmodium gaboni, 2907 nucleotides long. NCBI's taxonomy places the organism in Eukaryota, Apicomplexa, Aconoidasida, Haemosporida, Plasmodiidae. The record is from RefSeq and is a predicted model, not a curated record.